AGAGUUUGCUCAUGGCUCAGGAUGAACGCUGGCGGCGUGCCUAACACAUGCAAGUCGAACGGAGCUGAGGGACAGAAGACUUAGGUCAACGGACCAAAAAGCUUAGUGGCGGAAGGGUGAGUAACACGUGAGCAACCUGCCUUGUACAGUGGAAUAACAACGGGAAACCGUUGCUAAUACCGCAUGACAUACCGAAGAGGCAUCUUUUUGGUAUCAAAGGAGCAAUCCGGUGCUAAGAUGGGCUCGCGUCCGAUUCGAUAGUUGGAGAGGUAACGGCUCACCAAGUCGACGAUCGGUAGCCGGACUGAGAGGUUGAACGGCCACAUUGGGACUGAGAGACGGCCCAGACUCCUACGGGAGGCAGCAGUGGGGAAUAUUGGGCAAUGGGCGAAAGCCUGACCCAGCAACGCCGCGUGAAGGAAGAAGGUCUUCGGAUUGUAAACUUCUUUGAUCAGGGACGAAACAAAUGACGGUACCUGAAGAACAAGCCACGGCUAACUACGUGCCAGCAGCCGCGGU
RNAcentral lists this ribosomal RNA (519 nucleotides) under Clostridiales bacterium oral clone 20-70. RNAcentral's name for it is "bacterial SSU rRNA". It matches the Rfam family "Bacterial small subunit ribosomal RNA", at positions 8 to 521 of the family's 1533-position model. The record is from RNAcentral. Lineage: Bacteria; Bacillati; Bacillota; Clostridia; Eubacteriales.